GGCGACCGGCGCACGGGUGAGUAACACGUAUCCAACCUGCCGAUAACUCGGGGAUAGCCUUUCGAAAGAAAGAUUAAUAUCCGAUAGCAUGUCAACCCCGCAUGAGAUUGAUAUUAAAGAAUUUCGGUUAUCGAUGGGGAUGCGUUCCAUUAGUUUGUUGGCGGGGUAACGGCCCACCAAGACUACGAUGGAUAGGGGUUCUGAGAGGAAGGUCCCCCACAUUGGAACUGAGACACGGUCCAA
This 243-nucleotide ribosomal RNA is filed under the name uncultured bacterium. Its description in RNAcentral is "partial 16S ribosomal RNA". It matches the Rfam family "Bacterial small subunit ribosomal RNA", at positions 90 to 334 of the family's 1533-position model. The record is from RNAcentral.